UACGUAGGCGGAAAAUUAAGUCAGUAGUGAAAUCCUGCAGCUUAACUGUAGAACUGCUAUUGAUACUGGUUUUCUUGAAUAUAGUUGAGGUAGGCGGAAUGUGUAAUGUAGCGGUGAAAUGCUUAGAUAUUACACAGAACACCGAUUGCGAAGGCAGCUUACUAAGCUAUGAUUGACGCUGAGGUACGAAAGCGUGGGGAGCGAACAGGAUUAGAUACCCUGGUAGUC
This 228-nucleotide ribosomal RNA is filed under the name uncultured bacterium. Its description in RNAcentral is "partial 16S ribosomal RNA". It matches the Rfam family "Bacterial small subunit ribosomal RNA", at positions 568 to 795 of the family's 1533-position model. The record is from RNAcentral.